ACAUAGCCCUGAUUGAGGCGGCAUCCUGCCGGCGCAGCAAGGCAGAUAUAGCCGAAAGCAGGAACUGAA
RNAcentral lists this unclassified non-coding RNA (69 nucleotides) under Flavobacterium akiainvivens. RNAcentral's name for it is "Flavo-1 RNA". It matches the Rfam family "Flavo-1 RNA". The record is from Rfam by way of RNAcentral. Lineage: Bacteria; Pseudomonadati; Bacteroidota; Flavobacteriia; Flavobacteriales; Flavobacteriaceae.